RNAcentral lists this long non-coding RNA (341 nucleotides) under Brassica napus (rape). RNAcentral's name for it is "long non-coding RNA (BNAP_LNC008630)". Lineage: Eukaryota; Viridiplantae; Streptophyta; Magnoliopsida; Brassicales; Brassicaceae. The record is from RNAcentral.
AAUUCACCAGUUACCACCGUUGAUGUAACAAACCAAAAACUCCCAAACUUCCUCUUAUCGGUACGUCUCAAAUACGUUAAACUUGGUUACCACUACUUAAUCUCUAAUGCCGUCUACAUCAUCCUCCUCCCCGUCCUCUUUGCUGCAACCUCCUCCUCCUUCAAACUCUCCGAUCUCACUCUCUUAUGUAACCACCUCCUCCAUUUCCACCUCCUCCCGUCCACUCUCUUCGCUACUCUUCUUAUCUUUCUAACAACUCUCUACUUCACAACCCGUCCUCGCAAAGUAUUCCUCCUCGACUUCGCUUGCUACAAACCCGACCCUUCUCUAAUAUGCACACG